ACAAACCAACCGAGCAGAGCUGGGGGACCACAACACGCUGAACGGAAGAAUCCACGGCGAGGGGGAAAGGUUGAGCAUAUAGGUCUUAUCUUCCUCUGUCACCCUAUAAGUGGAGGCCAUACCCUGUAGCAUGUCUGUGUCUCUAACUCAGACCCAGAAGACAAUCCAUACAUGCCUAGGAAUGCGAGGAAGACAGACUUCCUCCCACAUCCAACCACUGAUUCCUUGCACUGUUCAGAGGAUACUCCUGGGCCUGGCUCAGUCAUCGGAAGCACCGGAACUAUAACAGCUCAGGACCAUCACACCUUUGACUGGCAGCUGCCGCCAGCAUGA
This is a non-coding RNA of Myodes glareolus (Bank vole), 333 nucleotides long. Lineage: Eukaryota; Metazoa; Chordata; Mammalia; Rodentia; Cricetidae. The record is from RefSeq and is a predicted model, not a curated record.